UUAGGCGAAUUGCAUCAGCAAGCCCUGAGAUGCCUUCAGGAGAUGUGCUGGCCAGCUUUAACCCCCCUGCAUCCCCCUCUGCUAGCUUUCUGCCCUUCCCAGCUUUUGACUCACCAUGCUGCCGACUCAUCGGUCCCUCCAGCGAGCACGAAAGGGUGACUCCGGCAGAAGCGAGGCGAGGGAGCUGGAAGAGCCCAGCCCACGCUGCUGGUCGAGCCCUGCCCUGGGAUGAAUCAAGGAUGCAGAUGACCAGCCUGGCCACAGAGGACGCUCCAGAACCGGCGGGGAUGUCAGGGGAUGAUGGAGGCACUAGCAAUGCCUUGUGUCGCCUACUUUUUGCUUGAAAGUCUUGAUGGCUUUGGCCUCAUGCACUCCAGUCCUUCAGGCUGCCCAUCCUUGCCCUGGGAAGGGA
This is a long non-coding RNA of Cygnus atratus (black swan), 412 nucleotides long. RefSeq lists it as uncharacterized. The record is from RefSeq and is a predicted model, not a curated record. Lineage: Eukaryota; Metazoa; Chordata; Aves; Anseriformes; Anatidae. The transcript has 3 exons.